Quercus lobata is the source of this 932-nucleotide long non-coding RNA. RefSeq lists it as uncharacterized. Lineage: Eukaryota; Viridiplantae; Streptophyta; Magnoliopsida; Fagales; Fagaceae. The transcript has 3 exons. The record is from RefSeq and is a predicted model, not a curated record.
AUGACAAUUUUUUUCCCCUUUUCUCAACCUUGGAUCCCCAAUAUUUAUCCAGUCUUCAUCGUUUCCACUAACCCUCCCCUGUUACUGCCUAGUCAUCAAUUUGCUACCCUCACCGAAGCUGCUUCUCCCCUCUCUUUUCUUUUUCUCUCAUUUACAAACAAAACCUGAUAACCUCUUUGUCCCUUUGUCCCUGAUAAGCCAAAUCAAACCAAACCAUUCGACUACUUUUCGAUAUAUUACUAUCAAACGCAGACCCACAAACGUCUCUCACCAAUUCUCACUUCCUUCCUCUCCUCUCCUAAUAUUGCGACUGUGUCCUCUACGCCAAUGAAGAGAAAUUUGUCUAUAGCUAUUGACGUGCAAUAUGUAUAUGAUGCAUGGACGUGCUUGGGAACCCAAAGAUGGAUGAUUUUGUUGAUGAUAAUUCAAGAAUCUCAUUUGGUCACCAAUUGAUACUUAUAUUAGAUGAACUCUAUGAGUCAGCCAAAGAAAGCUGCAAUGGUGAUUGUGUGAAUUUAAAUGAGAGCAACAUUAUAUUGGAUAUUCAAGUGAUCAAUGAGGUCAGAGGGUCUACCACUUUUUGAUAUGCUUAGAUAUAUCCUUAUCAUUAUUAAGCCAUGUGCCUAUGUGUUAACCUUUUCAAAAUAUUUUUUCUUUAGGAACAGCCUUUUCAAAUAACCCCAUAUUCUAAAAGCUGAAAAAUAAGCUAUACCAAUCUGGUACGUAAGCAUUUAAACAUAUUGUUAUCCUUAUUAAGGUAUAUAAGCAUUUAGACAAUUUUGAAAUUUUGCUAUUACUGUUCUGCUUCAAAUAAACCUCAUGUAAGUUCUGCAUCUUGAAGAUCAAGUAAAGAAUACCUUAAGAGAAGAUUUUUUGAAGAGAACUCCAAUGAGAGUCUUCUUUCUGUAAUAAAUCCUGCAUAUUGGUGUUAG